Molecule: ribosomal RNA, 460 nt
Filed under: uncultured bacterium
Lineage: Bacteria
Description: partial 16S ribosomal RNA
Rfam family: Bacterial small subunit ribosomal RNA
Source: RNAcentral
CCUACGGGUGGCAGCAGUGAGGAAUAUUGGUCAAUGGACGAGAGUCUGAACCAGCCAAGUAGCGUGAAGGAUGAGUGCCCUAUGGGUUGUAAACUUCUUUUAUAUGGGAAUAAAAUGUUCCACGUGUGGGAUUUUGUAUGUACCAUAUUAAUAAGGAUCGGCUAACUCCGUGCCAGCAGCCGCGGUAAUACGGAGGACACGAGCGUUAUCCGGAUUUAUUGGGUUUAAAGGGAGCGUAGGUGGAUUGUUAAGUCAGUUGUGAAAGUUUGCGGCUCAACCGUAACAUUGCAGUUGAAACUGGCAGUCUUGAGUACAGUAGAGGUGGGCGGAAUUCGUGGUGUAGCGGUGAAAUGCUUAGAUAUCACGAAGAACUCCGAUUGCGAAGGCAGUUCACUGGACUGCAACUGACACUGAGGCUCGAAAGUGUGGGUAUCAAACAGGAUUAGAUACCCUAGUAGUC